UACGUAGGGUGCAAGCGUCACUCGGAAUUACUGGGCGUAAAGCGUGCGUAGGCGGUUUGUUACGUCUGUCGUGAAAGCCCCGGGCUCAACCUGGGAAUGGCGAUGGAAACUGGCGAGCUAGAGUACGGUAGAGGAGAGUGGAAUUCCCGGUGUAGCCGUGAAAUGCGUAGAGAUCGGGAGGAACAUCAGUUGCGAAGGCGGCUCUCUGGACCAUGACUGACGCUGAGGCACGAAAGCGUGGGGAGCAAACAGG
Molecule: ribosomal RNA, 253 nt
Filed under: uncultured bacterium
Lineage: Bacteria
Description: partial 16S ribosomal RNA
Rfam family: Bacterial small subunit ribosomal RNA
Source: RNAcentral